Non-coding RNA from Camelina sativa (false flax), 1565 nucleotides. The record is from RefSeq and is a predicted model, not a curated record. Lineage: Eukaryota; Viridiplantae; Streptophyta; Magnoliopsida; Brassicales; Brassicaceae.
UUUUCUUAUGUGGACAAAGCAUAGAAUCGAUAAGGUUUUGUCGAACACUGCGUUUAAUCAAUUAUGUUCUUCCUCGCCGUGAUACCAACCUUCGACCGACUCUCUCAACCAAUCUGAGCAGAUCCCAGGCUGAUGUUAGCCCCAUCGUUGGUCGAUUGGUUGUGGUGGAUUUCACAACAAUGGAGUACGUAAACCCAUAAGGUCUUCGAUUAGAUGGUCGCCGAUUCAAUGAGGUAGUAAUGAAAGGCUUCAAAGACUGGGUUUUUGCUCUAUCCAGCUCAAUGGCAUCAUCUAGACCUCUUUUGGGCAGUGACCCUUUUUUCCGUGACCCACAUGAACAAGAGGAUAGCCAGUCUCACGCACCUGCUGCACCAGAACCAGUUACACGCUCGGAAUAAUGGUUCAGUGGUGAAUGCCAAUCAGGUUCAUUGUUAGAGAGUUUGCGGAGGCACAUAUGCCAUGGGUCGACUGUAUCCUCUGUUUAUUCAUUCUCAUUUCCUAGAUUUUUUUCUGAUAUGUUUGUGUAGCAAUUCUUAGUACAAUAGCUUGAUCCAGAAUAUUAGAUAUGAUGCGAUUUGUUUAAACAUUGUUAUGGUAUGUUACAAUUGAGGUUCUCUAAGUGUUUAUGAUUAGGGUAUAUUCAAAAACUGGGUUUACAAGAAGAGAAAACUGGGUUCCAAGUAGCCUCACUGGUAAUGCUUUGGGUCUUUAUCUACUAUGUUUUAAGAUAAACCAAAUACUGGGCUUAUCUGUUGACAUUAAAAGAGUAACUAACAUUUUGAAUGCUGGUCCAUUGUCAUUUUUCUUAAUUGUUAAUUGCAUAUGUGUGUUUAGCACUUGACUUGUGUUGGCCCUAUUUUUCUGGCUAUUUUCCCUCCAAAAAAUCAUGAUUUCUUACUUAUGCUUAUUUUUUGUCCUUAUACAGCAUUACCGUGAGAACAUGAUGAUGUGGGUAUUUGGCUAUGGCACUCUUGUGUGGAACUAAUGAUUUCACUACAAUGAGAAAGUGUUAGGUUUCAUCAAGGGAUAGAAACGUAUCUAUGACUUUGGUAACUCUAUAGUCUUUGGUUAAGGCUUUCACUACGAAGCCGCAAAACAAGUCACAAACCAAUCCAUAAGUGUUUAAUUAACCAAACCGUGGGGUUCAAGAUGUUCUUAGGGGUCACUGCAUCAGUGACAAGCUGGUACGCAUAUGAGACUUGCUGCAGUAUAAUCUUGGAGGACUUCCCAAUACUUGCCAAGGUCUUUACUACUGCAAUGUCUUAAGUGGAGUCAUUAGAGGAGCUUUGGAAAUGGUUUCGAUGACAUGGACGUGUGAUGUUCUUCGAGGGGAUGAUGCUUAUGAGUUGCAGGAGAAGCUACUAAAACAAGUCGCAGAGGAGUACAACGAUGAUGAACAGUUCGUUCAAAAUUACAAAUUUGUGCGAGGGAACAAACUGAAUGUAACUACAAUGGACUACAAUAAAACCCAAUACUAGCCAACUUUUUCUAAAGACCAAAUAACCAUUUAGCUUGUGAUAUGAGCGUUUAGUGGAGCAGCCGAGCAGCCGCUUGCUUCUAUACCA